UACGUAGGGGGCAAGCGUUGUCCGGAUUUAUUGGGCGUAAAGAGCGUGUAGGCGGCCAUACAGGUCAGCUGUGAAAACUCGAGGCUCAACCUCGAGACGUCGGUUGAAACCGUAUGGCUAGAGUCCGGAAGAGGAGAGUGGAAUUCCCGGUGUAGCGGUGAAAUGCGCAGAUAUCGGGAAGAACACCCGUGGCGAAGGCGGCUCUCUGGGACGGUACUGACGCUGAGGCGCGAAAGCGUGGGGAGCGAACAGG
Molecule: ribosomal RNA, 253 nt
Filed under: uncultured bacterium
Lineage: Bacteria
Description: partial 16S ribosomal RNA
Rfam family: Bacterial small subunit ribosomal RNA
Source: RNAcentral